GACGAACGCUGGCGGCGCGCCUAACACAUGCAAGUCGAGCGGAGAUACUUGAAGGAAGUUUUCGGAUGGAAUUUGAGUAUUUUAGCGGCGGACGGGUGAGUAACGCGUGAGUGACCUGCCUUCCACAGGGGGAUAACGUACCGAAAGGUACACUAAUACCGCAUGAGACCACAGCACUGCCUGGUGCAGGGGUCAAAGGAGCAAUCCGGUGGAAGAUGGACUCGCGUCCGAUUAGAUAGUUGGUGGGGUAACGGCCUACAAAGUCAGCGAUCGGUAGCCGACCUGAGAGGGUGAUCGGCCACAUUGGAACUGAGAGACGGUCCAAACUCCUACGGGAGGCAGCAGUGGGGAAUAUUGGGCAAUGGGGGAAACCCUGACCCAGCGACGCCGCGUGAGGGAAGAAGGUUUUCGGAUUGUAAACCUCUGUUCUUGGUGAAGAGGGAAAGACGGUAGCCAAGGAGGAAGCCCCGGCUAACUACGUGCCAGCAGCCGCAGUAA
This 498-nucleotide ribosomal RNA is filed under the name uncultured bacterium. Its description in RNAcentral is "partial 16S ribosomal RNA". It matches the Rfam family "Bacterial small subunit ribosomal RNA", at positions 28 to 523 of the family's 1533-position model. The record is from RNAcentral.